UCUUUCAGCUUCUCCAGACUUUGAUCUUGGGAGAGAUCAAACAGGGUCAGGCCAUGGAUAGCAGAUUUUGAAUGAAAACCCAGACAGGGUUUUGUGACGUGGAGAUGAUGUGGAGAGCUUAAAAAGAAGACAAGGCAGUGCAAGUAGUCCAUCCUGACACAUCACUGGCUCGGUGCUCAACUAAAUCAAGUCAGAAUUCAGACCUCUUAUAUUAGUAUCAGUUCACACUCAGAGUACGAAACUGUGAAGAGCGGAGCUGAGUUUGGCAGCACGAGUCGGGAGAAUUUACAACGCGAAACUCAGAGCAAACUCAUGAUAAAGGGCAGAAAUCAGCGCUGGCUGAGCUCCAUCCCAGUCAGUGGGCCAGAUCCUGAGCAGCUAUAAACAGACACAGCGCUGAGUAUUUCAUAGCAACUGCAGCACUCGUGUCGUUCAGCCCAACAGCCUCUUGCACGGAGGCAGAGUUUGACUGGUUCUGGUGGGGCUCCUCCUGAUUUAUACCCCUGAGCAAGCAAGCAGAGCGCUGGUCUGUCCUCACCAAUUAAAGCUGCCCCACAAUUACGUCUGCUGAGUGUCACAGAUUCAAACUUUAAACACAAAGCAACAGCCGAAGCUGGAUAUAAAGAAGCAGGAGGGCAGAGUUUUAUGAUCAAUGUUUUAUUGGAAUCAUAUAAAAAAGCAUUUCACAUCUUUCACGGAGGCAUUUUAUGUGCAAAUUUAAUAUAAAUCCUUU
RNAcentral lists this long non-coding RNA (733 nucleotides) under Coturnix japonica (Japanese quail). RNAcentral's name for it is "lncRNA (ENSCJPG00005009328.1)". The record is from RNAcentral. Lineage: Eukaryota; Metazoa; Chordata; Aves; Galliformes; Phasianidae.